UGAAACCCCAUCUCUAUUAAAAAUACAAAAAUUAGCUGGGUGUAGUGGGAGGUGCCUAUAGUCCCAGCUACUUGGGAGGCUGAGGAGGGAGAAUUACUUGAACCUGGGAGGCAG
Molecule: long non-coding RNA, 114 nt
Organism: Sapajus apella (tufted capuchin)
Lineage: Eukaryota; Metazoa; Chordata; Mammalia; Primates; Cebidae
Exons: 3
Source: RefSeq, a predicted model, not a curated record